AUUGAACGCUGGCGGCAUGCCUUACACAUGCAAGUCGAACGGUAACGCGGGGCAACCUGGCGACGAGUGGCGAACGGGUGAGUAAUGCAUCGGAACGUGCCCAGUAGUGGGGGAUAGCCCGGCGAAAGCCGGAUUAAUACCGCAUACGACCUUCGGGUGAAAGGGGGGGAUCGCAAGACCUCUCGCUAUUGGAGCGGCCGAUGUCAGAUUAGGUAGUUGGUGGGGUAAAAGCCUACCAAGCCGACGAUCUGUAGCUGGUCUGAGAGGACGACCAGCCACACUGGGACUGAGACACGGCCCAGACUCCUACGGGAGGCAGCAGUGGGGAAUUUUGGACAAUGGGCGCAAGCCUGAUCCAGCCAUGCCGCGUGCGGGAAGAAGGCCUUCGGGUUGUAAACCGCUUUUGUCAGGGAAGAAACGCUUCGAGCUAAUACCUCGGAGUAAUGACGGUACCUGAAGAAUAAGCACCGGCUAACUACGUGCCAGCCGCCGCCGUAA
Molecule: ribosomal RNA, 498 nt
Filed under: uncultured bacterium
Lineage: Bacteria
Description: partial 16S ribosomal RNA
Rfam family: Bacterial small subunit ribosomal RNA
Source: RNAcentral